CAGCCCUUGGAUGGUGUAAACUUCCCCAAAAAAACGUGUAUGGUGUAAUGGUGUAUGGCAUAUGGUGCAAUGGUGUAAGGUGUAUGGUGCUAUGGUGUAUGGUGUAAGGGGAAUGGUGUAAUGGUGUAUGAGGAAUGGUGUGAUUGUGUAACGUGCGAUCGGGAAUGGUGUGAAUGAACGGUGUACAACAUUUCAUUGGUUGAAAACGAAGUUUUUUUUUAUUUUAAUUUUUCGGAUUGUAAACAUAAACAAUAAUAAUAAUCUUAAUAUUUGAAAUUUAAUUGCGUUAUGGGUAAUUUCGGAUCGUGUAGAUAGAAUGGGGAAUGGUGUAUGGUGUAAUGUGUAACGUGUAUGGUGCAAAAGUGUACCGUGUAUGGUGUAAUGGUACAAGGUGUAUGG
This 399-nucleotide long non-coding RNA is filed under the name Mytilus galloprovincialis (Mediterranean mussel). The record is from RNAcentral. Lineage: Eukaryota; Metazoa; Mollusca; Bivalvia; Mytilida; Mytilidae.